CAGUCGCCGCGGUAAUGCGUAGGUGGCAAGCGUUGUCCGGAAUUAUUGGGCGUAAAGGGCUCGCAGGCGGUUUCUUAAGUCUGAUGUGAAAGCCCCCGGCUCAACCGGGGAGGGUCAUUGGAAACUGGGAAACUUGAGUGCAGAAGAGGAGAGUGGAAUUCCACGUGUAGCGGUGAAAUGUGUAGAGAUGUGGAGGAACACCAGUGGCGAAGGCGACUCUCUGGUCUGUAACUGACGCUGAGGAGCGAAAGCGUGGGGAGCGAACAGGAUUAGAGACCCCUGUAGUCCCUGUCUCUUAUAC
This 301-nucleotide ribosomal RNA is filed under the name uncultured bacterium. Its description in RNAcentral is "partial 16S ribosomal RNA". It matches the Rfam family "Bacterial small subunit ribosomal RNA", at positions 509 to 807 of the family's 1533-position model. The record is from RNAcentral.